RNAcentral lists this ribosomal RNA (253 nucleotides) under Eucampia antarctica. RNAcentral describes it as "partial Bacterial large subunit ribosomal RNA". It matches the Rfam family "Bacterial large subunit ribosomal RNA", at positions 2619 to 2870 of the family's 2925-position model. The record is from RNAcentral. Lineage: Eukaryota; Bacillariophyta; Thalassiosirophyceae; Eucampiales; Eucampiaceae.
UCGUGAGACAGUUCGGUCCCUAUCCGCUGCGCGCGUUGGAAAUUUGAGAAGGUCUGUCCUUAGUACGAGAGGACCGGGACGGACGAACCUCUGGUAUGUCAGUUGUACCGCCAGGUGCAUGGCUGAUUAGCUACGUUCGGGAUGGAUAACCGCUGAAAGCAUCUAAGUGGGAAGCCCACCUCAAGAUGAGUAUUCUCAUCACGUAAGUGAGUAAGGUCACGGUAAGACUAACCGUUUAAUAGGCAUUAAGUGU